Molecule: ribosomal RNA, 602 nt
Filed under: Halichoeres scapularis (zigzag wrasse)
Lineage: Eukaryota; Metazoa; Chordata; Actinopteri; Labriformes; Labridae
Description: partial 16S ribosomal RNA
Rfam family: Bacterial large subunit ribosomal RNA
Source: RNAcentral
UUUAUCAAAAACAUCGCCUCUUGCAAAAUCAACAAAUAAGAGGUCACGCCUGCCCAGUGACUAUAUGUUCAACGGCCGCGGUAUUUUGACCGUGCAAAGGUAGCGCAAUCACUUGUCUUUUAAAUGGAGACCUGUAUGAAUGGCAUCACGAGGGCUUAACUGUCUCCUUUCUUUAGCCAAUGAAAUUGAUCUCCCCGUGCAGAAGCGGGGAUUAUCCCAUAAGACGAGAAGACCCUAUGGAGCUUUAGACACUAAGACAGCUUAUGUCAAGUACCCCUAACAAGGGACUGAACUAAAUAAUUCCUGUCCUAAUGUCUUCGGUUGGGGCGACCCUGGGGAAAUAACCAACCCCCAUGCGGAAUGAAAACAUGUUUUCAAAGCCAAGAGCCGCCGCUCUAAGAAGCAGAACUUCUGACCAGCUAGAUCCGGCAAAGCCGAUCAACGGACCGAGUUACCCUAGGGAUAACAGCGCAAUCCCCUUACAGAGCCCUUAUCGACAAGGGGGUUUACGACCUCGAUGUUGGAUCAGGACAUCCUAAUGGUGCAGCCGCUAUUAAGGGUUCGUUUGUUCAACGAUUAAAGUCCUACGUGAUCUGAGUUCA